CGCUGGCGGCAUGGCUAAAACAUGCAAGUCGAACGACAUAGUGGCGAAAGGGCGAGUAACGCGAUCGAACAUACCCCGAGGUGGGGGAUAGCCUUUGGAAACGAAGGGUAAUACCCCAUGUCCUCUACGGAGAAAAGCUCCGGCGCCUUGGGAGUGGCGAUCGUCCUAUCAGGUAGUUGGUGAGGUAACGGCUCACCAAGCCGAAGACGGGUAGCGGGUGUGAGAGCAUGACCCGCCGCAUCGGGACUGAGACACUGCCCGGACUCCUACGGGAGGCUGCAGUAACGAAUCUUCCGCAAUGGGCGCAAGCCUGACGGAGCAAUGCCGCGUGCGGGAUGAAGCUUCUACGAAGUGUAAACCGCUGUCAGGGUCUCGUACCAACGAACAGACCCAGAGGAAGGACCGGCUAAUUCCGUGCCAGCAGCCGCGGUAAUACGGAAGGUCCAAGCGUUAAUCGGAAUCACUGGGCUUAAAGCGUGCGCAGGCGGACCGGCAGGCAUCCUGUGAAAUCCCACGGCUCAACCGUGGAACUGCAGGGUGAACCGCCGGUCUCGAGGCAGGUAGGGGUGAGUGGAACUAUGGGUGGAGCGGUGAAAUGCGUAGAUAUCCAUGGGAACGCCAAUGGCGAAGGCAACUCACUGGGCCUGUCCUGCGCUCAGGCACGAAAGCCUGGGGAGCGAACGGGAUUA
Molecule: ribosomal RNA, 689 nt
Filed under: uncultured bacterium
Lineage: Bacteria
Description: bacterial SSU rRNA
Rfam family: Bacterial small subunit ribosomal RNA
Source: RNAcentral